RNAcentral lists this long non-coding RNA (533 nucleotides) under Mus spicilegus (steppe mouse). RNAcentral's name for it is "lncRNA (ENSMSIG00000016026.1)". The record is from RNAcentral. Lineage: Eukaryota; Metazoa; Chordata; Mammalia; Rodentia; Muridae.
CCAGUAUCCCUUCUGCAAGUAAGUAAGUGACUAGUAACAAUCACGUUUUCUAAUAGGGUCUCAAGGAGAAAACAAACAAUCUAAUAGGACAUGGCCAAGGCAGAAGAACAACAACAACAAGAAGAGGAGUAGGAGGCAGAAAGAAAAAACAGACAAACAACAAAAACAAAACAAAACAAAAAGCCCUCAGAACAUAGAGAGAGACCAGCAAUUGUUAGACUGUCAAGCCAUCUUCCAAAGCAGAUGUGGGUUCUAUGUUCCCAUCAGUGGAUCCCGAGGAUGGCAUCAGGCCCACCUGGAUAAACCAGGAUAAUCUUCUAAAAUUGCAGGCUUCAAAGAUAUCCGGAUCUAAAUUCCUGGGACUAGUGACUGUAUGGAAAAAAGAGGUUUCCACGGAUAUAAUUAAGUCACAGAUCUUAAGAUAAGGAUGUUAUCUUAGAUUGUAAGCUCUAAAUAUGAUUAGAUCGUUCCUUUAAUUGGAGGACAGUGCUUUAUAAGAGGAAAACAGAAGAUUCCACAAUAGAGAGAUGAUG